Long non-coding RNA from Spea bombifrons (plains spadefoot toad), 676 nucleotides. RefSeq lists it as uncharacterized. The record is from RefSeq and is a predicted model, not a curated record. The transcript has 3 exons. NCBI's taxonomy places the organism in Eukaryota, Metazoa, Chordata, Amphibia, Anura, Pelobatidae.
GGGGGAUGGAGACGUGGUUGGUGGAGGAGGAGUGGUAUGGUCCAAGGCUGUUGUGUGCCACUGCGCUCCAGUCCUCAUGUCUGUAAUAGGUUGCAGUAAAGCUCGGGAUUCGUUUUUGGUGGCUUCCUCGGAUCCUGUUCACAAUUGGUUCCUUGCCGAUGAAUGACUAGGAGGGUUCUCAUCACUAGAUGCCAAGCUGUCGUCAUCAAGACACAAUUCCUGAUUAAUAAACUGGAAGGCGGGUGAUGACACCCUGUACUACCAUAAAUCGCACUCAUUUCUAUUAUUAAUAAUAAUAAUAAUAGUAAUAAUGCCUACAAAGUACCAAAAGAUGGUCAGUCACACAAUAAACCAAAACCCUCCUGGAUUUCGGCUCCACACACCAUGUUUUUUUUUGUUUGUUUGGGGUUUUUUUGUAUGCGAUGUAUAUGGUCAUUCAUAAUUUUCUGGAUUUGUAAGAAAUACAAUGGUGGAUCUGUGGGGGGAGGGGAAGUGGAUGGGAAACGCUUCUGUAGUAAAAACAAAAUCUAGAAUGAAGGUUCAAGGAACCAGCCUCUAUAGCAUUUGCUUUCAUUUUGUUCACUUGUUGCAGACAUAGUUCCACUAUAUUAAGUUCGCCUAAAGAAAUCUAUACAUCUUCUCUGUAUAACGUGAGAACAGAAACCUGAAGCGUGUU